Molecule: ribosomal RNA, 175 nt
Filed under: uncultured Rhodococcus sp.
Lineage: Bacteria; Bacillati; Actinomycetota; Actinomycetes; Mycobacteriales; Nocardiaceae
Description: partial 16S ribosomal RNA
Rfam family: Bacterial small subunit ribosomal RNA
Source: RNAcentral
UUCUACGGGGGGCAGCAGUGGGGAAUAUUGCACAAUGGGCGAAAGCCUGAUGCAGCGACGCCGCGUGAGGGAUGACGGCCUUCGGGUUGUAAACCUCUUUCAGCAGGGACGAAGCGCAAGUGACGGUACCUGCAGAAGAAGCACCGGCUAACUACGUGCCAGCAGCCGCGGUAAA